UACGUAGGGGGCUAGCGUUGUCCGGAAUCAUUGGGCGUAAAGAGCGUGUAGGCGGUCCGGUAAGUCCGUUGUGAAAGUCAGGGGCUCAACCCUUGAAUGCCGGCGGAUACUGUCGGGCUAGAGUCCGGAAGAGGCGAGUGGAAUUCCCGGUGUAGCGGUGAAAUGCGCAGAUAUCGGGAAGAACACCUGUGGCGAAGGCGGCUCUCUGGGACGGUACUGACGCUGAGACGCGAAAGCGUGGGGAGCAAACAGG
RNAcentral lists this ribosomal RNA (253 nucleotides) under uncultured bacterium. Its description in RNAcentral is "partial 16S ribosomal RNA". It matches the Rfam family "Bacterial small subunit ribosomal RNA", at positions 524 to 776 of the family's 1533-position model. The record is from RNAcentral.